AUUGAACGCUGGCGGAAUGCUUUACACAUGCAAGUCGAACGGUAACAGGUUAAGCUGACGAGUGGCGAACGGGUGAGGAAUACAUCGGAACGUGCCCAGUCGUGGGGGAUAACGUAGAGAAAUUUACGCUAAUACCGCAUACGAUCUAAGGAUGAAAGCGGGGGACCGUAAGGCCUCGCGCGAUUGGAGCGGCCGAUUUCAGAUUAGGUAGUUGGUGGGGUAAGGCCUACCAAGCCGACGAUCUGUAGCUGGUCUGAGAGGACGACCAGCCACACUGCGACUUAGACACGGCCCAGACUCCUACGGGAGGCAGCAGUGGGGAAUUUUGGACAAUGGGCGAAAGCCUGAUCCAGCCAUUCCGCGUGCAGGAUGAAGGCCCUCGGGUUGUAGACUGCUUUUGUACAGAACGAAAAGGUCUGGGUUAAUACCCUGGGCUCAUGACGGUACUGUAAGAAUAAGCACCGGCUAACUACGUGCCAGCCGCCGCCGUAA
This 492-nucleotide ribosomal RNA is filed under the name uncultured bacterium. Its description in RNAcentral is "partial 16S ribosomal RNA". It matches the Rfam family "Bacterial small subunit ribosomal RNA", at positions 30 to 523 of the family's 1533-position model. The record is from RNAcentral.